GAUGAACGCUGGCGGCGUGCCUAAUACAUGCAAGUCGAGCGAACGGACGAGAAGCUUGCUUCUCUGAUGUUAGCGGCGGACGGGUGAGUAACACGUGGAUAACCUACCUAUAAGACUGGGAUAACUUCGGGAAACCGGAGCUAAUACCGGAUAAUAUUUUGAACCGCAUGGUUCAAAAGUGAAAGACGGUCUUGCUGUCACUUAUAGAUGGAUCCGCGCUGCAUUAGCUAGUUGGUAAGGUAACGGCUUACCAAGGCAACGAUGCAUAGCCGACCUGAGAGGGUGAUCGGCCACACUGGAACUGAGACACGGUCCAGACUCCUACGGGAGGCAGCAGUAGGGAAUCUUCCGCAAUGGGCGAAAGCCUGACGGAGCAACGCCGCGUGAGUGAUGAAGGUCUUCGGAUCGUAAAACUCUGUUAUUAGGGAAGAACAUAUGUGUAAGUAACUGUGCGCAUCUUGACGGUACCUAAUCAGAAAGCCACGGCUAACUACGUGCCAGCAGCCGCGGUAAUACGUAGGUGGCAAGCGUUAUCCGGAAUUAUUGGGCGUAAAGCGCGCGUAGGCGGUUUUUUAAGUCUGAUGUGAAAGCCCACGGCUCAACCGUGGAGGGUCAUUGGAAACUGGAAAACUUGAGUGCAGAAGAGGAAAGUGGAAUUCCAUGUGUAGCGGUGAAAUGCGCAGAGAUAUGGAGGAACACCAGUGGCGAAGGCGACUUUCUGGUCUGUAACUGACGCUGAUGUGCGAAAGCGUGGGGAUCAAACAGGAUUAGAUACCCUGGUAGUCCACGCCGUAAACGAUGAGUGCUAAGUGUUAGGGGGUUUCCGCCCCUUAGUGCUGCAGCUAACGCAUUAAGCACUCCGCCUGGGGAGUACGACCGCAAGGUUGAAACUCAAAGGAAUUGACGGGGACCCGCACAAGCGGUGGAGCAUGUGGUUUAAUUCGAAGCAACACGAAGAACCUUACCAAAUCUUGACAUCCUUUGACAACUCUAGAGAUAGAGCUUUCCCCUUCGGGGGACAAAGUGACAGGUGGUGCAUGGUUGUCGUCAGCUCGUGUCGUGAGAUGUUGGGUUAAGUCCCGCAACGAGCGCAACCCUUAAGCUUAGUUGCCAUCAUUAAGUUGGGCACUCUAAGUUGACUGCCGGUGACAAACCGGAGGAAGGUGGGGAUGACGUCAAAUCAUCAUGCCCCUUAUGAUUUGGGCUACACACGUGCUACAAUGGACAAUACAAAGGGCAGCGAAACCGCGAGGUCAAGCAAAUCCCAUAAAGUUGUUCUCAGUUCGGAUUGUAGUCUGCAACUCGACUACAUGAAGCUGGAAUCGCUAGUAAUCGUAGAUCAGCAUGCUACGGUGAAUACGUUCCCGGGUCU
This 1372-nucleotide ribosomal RNA is filed under the name uncultured bacterium. RNAcentral describes it as "bacterial SSU rRNA". It matches the Rfam family "Bacterial small subunit ribosomal RNA", at positions 28 to 1381 of the family's 1533-position model. The record is from RNAcentral.